RNAcentral lists this ribosomal RNA (378 nucleotides) under uncultured bacterium. RNAcentral's name for it is "bacterial SSU rRNA". It matches the Rfam family "Bacterial small subunit ribosomal RNA", at positions 30 to 408 of the family's 1533-position model. The record is from RNAcentral.
AUUGAACGCUGGCGGCAUGCCUUACACAUGCAAGUCGAACGGCAGCACGGGAGCAAUCCUGGUGGCGAGUGGCGAACGGGUGAGUAAUAUAUCGGAACGUGCCCAGUCGUGGGGAUAACGUAGCGAAAGCUACGCUAAUACCGCAUACGAUCUAUGGAUGAAAGCGGGGGGAUCGCAAGACCUCGCGCGAUUGGAGCGGCCGAUAUCAGAUUAGGUAGUUGGUGAGGUAAAGGCUCACCAAGCCGACGAUCUGUAGCUGGUCUGAGAGGACGACAGCCACACUGGGACUGAGACACGGCCCAGACUCCUACGGGAGGCAGCAGUGGGGAAUUUUGGACAAUGGGCGCGAAGCCUGAUCCAGCAAUGCCGCGUGCAGGA